Molecule: non-coding RNA, 638 nt
Organism: Procambarus clarkii (red swamp crayfish)
Lineage: Eukaryota; Metazoa; Arthropoda; Malacostraca; Decapoda; Cambaridae
Source: RefSeq, a predicted model, not a curated record
CCCAGGCUUGGUGUGUUCAGACCCAGCUUGGUGUGUUCAGACCCAGGCUUGGUGUGUUCAGACCCAGGCUUGGUGUGUUCAGACCCAGGCUUGGUGUGUUCAGACCCAGGCUUGGUGUGUUCAGACCCAGGCUUGGUGUGUUCAGACCCAGGCUUGGUGUGUUCAGACCCAGGCUUGGUGUGUUCAGACCCAGGUUUGGUGUGUUCAGACCCAGGUUUGGUGUGUUCAGAUCUAGGUUUGGUGUGUUCAGACCCAGGCUUGGUGUGUUCAGACCCAGGUUUGGUGUGUUCAGACCCAGGUUUGGUGUGUUCAGAUCUAGGUUUGGUGUGUUCAGACCCAGGCUUGGUGUGUUCAGACCCAGGCUUGGUGUGUUCAGACCCAGGCUUGGUGUGUUCAGACCCAGGCACGCAAAGUGGUGGAGCUGUCAGCAGGGGAGAGGAGGGUGUUGCUGGAGCUGUCAGCGAGGGAGAGGAGGGUGUGAGAGUGGGGAGCCGUCAGCGAGGGAGAGGACGGUGUGAGAGCGGGGAGUCGUGCCUUAACUCUUCCUGUGCUACAACCAUAUUAGGUUAAGUCUUGUAAUUACUACAAAACAUUUUCAUUAUAUUUAAGGAAAUUUAGAAUAAACAUUUGUCUUUCAA